This 838-nucleotide ribosomal RNA is filed under the name uncultured bacterium. RNAcentral's name for it is "bacterial SSU rRNA". It matches the Rfam family "Bacterial small subunit ribosomal RNA", at positions 8 to 806 of the family's 1533-position model. The record is from RNAcentral.
AGAGUUUGAUCCUGGCUCAGGACGAACGCUGGCGGCGUGCCUAAUACAUGCAAGUCGAGCGAGCUUGCCUAGAUGAUUUUAGUGCUUGCACUAAAUGAAACUAGAUACAAGCGAGCGGCGGACGGGUGAGUAACACGUGGGUAACCUGCCCAAGAGACUGGGAUAACACCUGGAAACAGAUGCUAAUACCGGAUAACAACACUAGACGCAUGUCUAGAGUUUGAAAGAUGGUUCUGCUAUCACUCUUGGAUGGACCUGCGGUGCAUUAGCUAGUUGGUAAGGUAACGGCUUACCAAGGCAAUGAUGCAUAGCCGAGUUGAGAGACUGAUUGGCCACAUUGGGACUGAGACACGGCCCAAACUCCCACGGGAGGCAGCAGUAGGGAAUCUUCCACAAUGGACGAAAGUCUGAUGGAGCAACGCCGCGUGAGUGAAGAAGGGUUUCGGCUCGUAAAGCUCUGUUGGUAGUGAAGAAAGAUAGAGGUAGUAACUGGCCUUUAUUUGACGGUAAUUACUUAGAAAGUCACGGCUAACUACGUGCCAGCAGCCGCGGUAAUACGUAGGUGGCAAGCGUUGUCCGGAUUUAUUGGGCGUAAAGCGAGUGCAGGCGGUUCAAUAAGUCUGAUGUGAAAGCCUUCGGCUCAACCGGAGAAUUGCAUCAGAAACUGUUGAACUUGAGUGCAGAAGAGGAGAGUGGAACUCCAUGUGUAGCGGUGGAAUGCGUAGAUAUAUGGAAGAACACCAGUGGCGAAGGCGGCUCUCUGGUCUGCAACUGACGCUGAGGCUCGAAAGCAUGGGUAGCGAACAGGAUUAGAUACCCUGGUAGUCCAUGCCGUAAA